AUGAGGGAUAUUGUUAAACUGAUUAGGGGUAGUGUUAAACUGAUGAGGGGUAGAGUUAAAUUGAUGAGGGGCAGAGUUAAAUUUAAGAGGGGUAGUGUUAAACUGAUGGGGGGUAGUGUUAAACUGACGAGGGGUAGAGUUAAAUUGAUAGGGAGUAGGGUUAAACUGAUGGGAGGUAGGGUUAAACUGAUUGGGAGUAGGGUUAAAUUGAUGGGGAGUAGUGUUAAAGUGAUGGGGAGUAGGGUUAAACUGAUGGGGAGUAGGGUUAAACUGAUGGGAGGUAGGGUUAAACUGAUUGGGAGUAGGGUUAAACUGAUGGGGAGUAGGGUUAAACUGAUGGGGAGUAGGGUUAAAGUGAUGAGGAGUAGUAUUAAACUGAUGAGGGCUAGUGUUAAACUGAUGAGGGGUAUUGUUAAACUGAUGAGGGGUAGAGUGAAAUUGAUGAGGGCCAGUGUUAAACUGAUGAGGGGUAUUGUUGAACUAAUGAGGGGUAGUGUUAAACUGAUGAGGGGUAGUGUUAAACUGAUGAGGGGUAGAGUGAAAUUGAUGAGGGGUAUUGUUAAACUGAUGAGGGGUAGAGUUAAAUUGAUGAGGGGUAUUGUUAAACUGAUGAGGGGUAGAGUUAAAUUGAUGAGGGGCAGAGUUAAAUUUAAGAGGGGUAGUGUUAAACUGAUGGGGGGUAGUGUUAAACUGACGAGGGGUAGAGUUAAAUUGAUAGGGAGUAGGGUUAAACUGAUGGGAGGUAGGGUUAAACUGAUUGGGAGUAGGGUUAAAUUGAUGGGGAGUAGUGUUAAAGUGAUGGGGAGUAGGGUUAAACUGAUGGGGAGUAGGGUUAAACUGAUGGGAGGUAGGGUUAAACUGAUUGGGAGUAGGGUUAAACUGAUGGGGAGUAGGGUUAAACUGAUGGGGAGUAAGGUUAAAGUGAUGAGGAGUAGUAUUAAACUGAUGAGGGCUAGUGUUAAACUGAUGAGGGGUAUUGUUAAACGGAUGAGGGGUAGAGUGAAAUUGAUGAGGGCCAGUGUUAAACUGAUGAGGGGUAUUGUUGAACUAAUGAGGGGUAGUGUUAAACUGAUGAGGGGUAGUGUUAAACUGAUGAGGGGUAGAGUGAAAUUGAUGAGGGGUUGUGUUAAACUGAUGAGGGCUAGUGUUAAACUGAUGAGGGGUAGAGUGAAAUUGAUGAGGGGUUGUGUUAAACUGAUGAGGGGUAUUGUUAAACUGAUAAGGGGUAGUGUUAAACUGAUGAUGGGUAGUGUAAAACUGAUGAGGGAUAGUGUUAAACUAAUGAGGGAUAGUGUUAAACUGAUGAGGGGUAGUAUUAAACAGAUGAGGGGUAUUGUCAAAUUGAUGAGGAGUAGAGUUAAGAUUAAGAGGGGUAGAGAUAAAUUGAUGGGGAGUAGGGUUAAACUGAUGGGGAGUAGGGUUAAACUGAUGAGGGGUAUUGUUAAACAGAUGAGGGGUAGUUUUAAACUGAUGAGGGGUAGAGUUAAAUUGAUGAGGGGUAGUGUUAAAGUUAUGAGGGGUAGAGUUAAACUGAUGGGGGGUAGUGUUAAACUGAUGAAGGGUAGAGUUAAGAUUAAGAGGGGUAGAGUUAAAUUGAUGAGGGGUAGUGUUAAAGUUAUGAGGGGUAGAGUUAAACUGAUGGGGAGUAGGGUUAAACUGAUGGGGAGUAGGGUUAAACUGAUGGGGAGUUUGGUUAAAUUGAUGGGGAGUAGGGUUAAACUGAUGGGAGGUAGGGUUAAACUGAUUGGGAGUAGGGUUAAACUGAUGGGGAGUAGGGUUAAACUGAUCCGGAGUAGGGUUAAAGUGUUGAGGAGUAGUAUUAAACUGAUGAGGGCUAGUGUUAAACUGAUGACGGGUAGUGUUAGACUGAUGAGGGGUAGUGUUAAACUGAUGAGGACUAGUGUUAAACUGAUGAGGACUAGUUUUAAACUGAUGAGGGGUAUUGUUAAACUGAUGAGGGGUAGAGUGAAAUUGAUGAGGGGUUGUGUUAAACUGAUGAGGGGUAUUUUUAAACUGAUGAGGGGUAGUGUUAAACUGAUAAGUGGUAGUGUUAAACUGAUGAGGGGUAUUGUUAAAUUGAUGAGGGGUAUUGUUAAAUUGAUGAGGGUUAUUGUUAAACUGAUUAGGGGUACUGUUAAACUGAUGAAGGGUAGAGUUAAAUUGAUGAGGGGCAGAGUUAAAUUUAAGAGGGGUAGUGUUAAACUGAUGGGGGGUAGUGUUAAACUGACGAGGGGUAGAGUUAAAUUGAUAGGGAGUAGGGUUAAACUGAUGGGAUGUAGAGCUAAUCUGAUGGGGAGUAGGGUUAAACUGAUGAGUGGUAUUUUUAAACUGAUGAGGGGUAAUGUUAAACUGAUGAGUGUUAGUGUUAAACUGAUGAGGGGUAUUGUUAAAUUGAUGAGGGGUAUUGUUAAAUUGAUGUAG
RNAcentral lists this long non-coding RNA (2421 nucleotides) under Oncorhynchus mykiss (rainbow trout). RNAcentral's name for it is "lncRNA (ENSOMYG00000063809.1)". Lineage: Eukaryota; Metazoa; Chordata; Actinopteri; Salmoniformes; Salmonidae. The record is from RNAcentral.